CCGAUAGUGAACCAGUACCGUGAGGGAAAGGCGAAAAGAACCCCGGCGAGGGGAGUGAAAAAGAACCUGAAACCGUGUACGUACAAGCAGUGGGAGCACAGGUUUACCUGUGUGACUGCGUACCUUUUGUAUAAUGGGUCAGCGACUUAUAUUCUGUAGCAAGGUUAACCGAAUAGGGGAGCCGGAGGGAAACCGAGUCUUAAUUGGGCGUUAAGUUGCAGGGUAUAGACCCGAAACCCGGUGAUCUAGCCAUGGGCAGGUUGAAGGUUGGGUAACACUAACUGGAGGACCGAACCGACUAA
This 302-nucleotide ribosomal RNA is filed under the name Salmonella enterica subsp. enterica serovar Anatum. RNAcentral describes it as "partial 23S ribosomal RNA". It matches the Rfam family "Bacterial large subunit ribosomal RNA", at positions 484 to 786 of the family's 2925-position model. Lineage: Bacteria; Pseudomonadati; Pseudomonadota; Gammaproteobacteria; Enterobacterales; Enterobacteriaceae. The record is from RNAcentral.